GUCCCUUGACGGCCUAAUUUGAAGACCUCUUCUUUCCUUUCCUCCUCAAACAGCUGACACUGAUGAAACAGACCUAGCCACACACACCGCCUCUGAAAGGGACCAUCAGUUUGAAAGGCACCAUGAGGAACAUAACACAUCCAAGGUGUCAUUGGCUUCACACGGAAUCUGCUUUGGAUGAAAAUUUCCUUUAGGAUCUG
Molecule: long non-coding RNA, 200 nt
Filed under: Mustela putorius furo (domestic ferret)
Lineage: Eukaryota; Metazoa; Chordata; Mammalia; Carnivora; Mustelidae
Description: lncRNA (ENSMPUG00000024833.1)
Source: RNAcentral